This 814-nucleotide ribosomal RNA is filed under the name uncultured bacterium. RNAcentral's name for it is "bacterial SSU rRNA". It matches the Rfam family "Bacterial small subunit ribosomal RNA", at positions 636 to 1449 of the family's 1533-position model. The record is from RNAcentral.
UNUGACUUGAGUGCAGAAGGGGAGAGUGGAAUUCCAUGUGUAGCGGUGAAAUGCGUAGAUAUAUGGAGGAACACCAGUGGCGAAAGUGGCUCUCUGGUCUGUCACUGACGCUGAGGCUCGAAAGCGUGGGUAGCGAACAGGAUUAGAUACCCUGGUAGUNCACGCCGUAAACGAUGAGUGCUAGGUGUUAGGCCCUUUCCGGGGCUUAGUGCCGGAGCUAACGCAAUAAGCACUCCGCCUGGGGAGUACGACCGCAAGGUUGAAACUCAAAGGAAUUGACGGGGGCCCGCACAAGCGGUGGAGCAUGUGGUUUAAUUCGAAGCAACGCGAAGAACCUUACCAGGUCUUGACAUCCCGAUGCUAUUCUUAGAGAUAGGAAGUUACUUCGGUACAUCGGAGACAGGUGGUGCAUGGUUGUCGUCAGCUCGUGUCGUGAGAUGUUGGGUUAAGUCCCGCAACGAGCGCAACCCUUAUUGUUAGUUGCCAUCAUUAAGUUGGGCACUCUAGCGAGACUGCCGGUAAUAAACUGGAGGAAGGUGGGGAUGACGUCAAAUCAUCAUGCCCCUUAUGACCUGGGCUACACACGUGCUACAAUGGUCGGUACAACGAGUUGCGAGCCGGUGACGGCAAGCUAAUCUCUGAAAGCCGAUCUCAGUUCGGAUUGGAGGCUGCAACUCGCCUCCAUGAAGUCGGAAUCGCUAGUAAUCGCGGAUCAGCACGCCGCGGUGAAUACGUUCCCGGGCCUUGUACACACCGCCCGUCACACCACGAGAGUUUGUAACACCCGAAGUCGGUGAGGUAACCUUUUAGGGGC